ACUGGCGGCGUGCCUAACACAUGCAAGUCGAACGGAGAUUAGACGCUGACGAGACUUCGGUCAAAUCUUGUUAAUCUUAGUGGCGGACGGGUGAGUAACGCGUGGGCAACCUGCCUCAUACUGGGGGAUAGCAGUUGGAAACGACUGAUAAUACCGCAUAAGCGCACAGCAUCGCAUGAUGCAGUGUGAAAAACUCCGGUGGUAUGAGAUGGGCCCGCGUCAGAUUAGCUAGUUGGUGAGGUAACGGCUCACCAAGGCGACGAUCUGUAGCCGGACUGAGAGGUCGGACGGCCACAUUGGGACUGAGACACGGCCCAAACUCCUACGGGAGGCAGCAGUGGGGGAUAUUGCACAAUGGAGGAAACUCUGAUGCAGCGACGCCGCGUGAGUGAAGAAGUAUUUCGGUAUGUAAAGCUCUAUCAGCAGGGAAGAAAGGCCCGCAAGGGAGAUGACGGUACCUGACUAAGAAGCCCCGGCUAACUACGUGCCAGCCGCUGC
Molecule: ribosomal RNA, 498 nt
Filed under: uncultured bacterium
Lineage: Bacteria
Description: bacterial SSU rRNA
Rfam family: Bacterial small subunit ribosomal RNA
Source: RNAcentral